Molecule: ribosomal RNA, 473 nt
Filed under: uncultured bacterium
Lineage: Bacteria
Description: SSU rRNA
Rfam family: Bacterial small subunit ribosomal RNA
Source: RNAcentral
AGGAUGAACGCUGGCGGCGUGCCUAAUACAUGCAAGUCGAGCGGUAAGGUUCUCACUCUGUAUUUAACUAGUUUGAAUAUAGUGUGAGAAUACACGAGCGGCGGACGGCUGAGUAACACGUAGGAACGUACCCCAAACUGAGGGAUAAGCACCAGAAAUGGUGUCUAAUACCGCAUGUGCUCUUCGGAGUAAAGCUACGGCGGUUUGGGAACGGCCUGCGCAUGAUUAGCUUGUUGGUGAGGUAAUAGCUCACCAAGGCGACGAUCAUUAGCUGGUCUGAGAGGAUGAUCAGCCAGACUGGGACUGAGAACGGCCCAGACUCCUACGGGAGGCAGCAGUAGGGAAUUUUCCACAAUGGGCGAAAGCCUGAUGGAGCAACGCGCGUGCAGGAUGAAGGUCUUCGGGUCGUAAACUGUCUUUUAUCUGUGACGAUUAUGACGGUAGCAGAUGAAUAGGAUCGGCUAACGUCCGUG